AUCCACGGCCAGGCUUCCAAGCCUCUUGUCUUCCAAGCCACACUUCAACUGAUUGUAGUGAUUGGUUUCUUAUAUAGGUGUGUUUUUUUUUUCGGAGACCGUGAAUGACAGCCUCCGGUCCGGGCCAGGGCUCGCCCUGCUCGGCUAGUCGUCCCACUAAGUCGUUGCCGCUGGAGUGUUUUCUUCGCAACCGAGUCAACUCCUUGCCCAUGGCGUUCGUUGCCACAUAUGGUGGAUUCAUUCGGUUGACCGCAUCAGAAGUCUUCCAGGAGGAGCUGCGCGGUAUAACCGAACACUUCAUUGACAUCUUGGAGGUUCAUCAGUGCUGAUCGCUUGUGAUGGGCAACGGAGAGCUGACACUGUGGUAUCGCUUUUGAAUUCUGCUGUUCAGCUCGGUGACGACGCGUGCGUCAGUUCUGCGUCCCUCACGCUCUCAACAAAAAAGCUGGAUUAUCUCCAUGGCUGACCCUUAUCCUUCUUAUACAUCUUUUUCUUUUCUGUAUGUCACAUUCAAUGGUGUCCUUAUAUGCUGCUUCUGCAAAUAAAACAUUUGGUUGCUAGUCA
Dermacentor albipictus is the source of this 564-nucleotide long non-coding RNA. RefSeq lists it as uncharacterized. The record is from RefSeq and is a predicted model, not a curated record. Lineage: Eukaryota; Metazoa; Arthropoda; Arachnida; Ixodida; Ixodidae.